This 65-nucleotide transfer RNA is filed under the name Diamesa sp. 1XL. RNAcentral describes it as "tRNA-Thr". It matches the Rfam family "tRNA". Rfam says of the family: Transfer RNA (tRNA) molecules are approximately 80 nucleotides in length. Their secondary structure includes four short double-helical elements and three loops (D, anti-codon, and T loops). Further hydrogen bonds mediate the characteristic L-shaped molecular structure. tRNAs have two regions of fundamental functional importance: the anti-codon, which is responsible for specific mRNA codon recognition, and the 3' end, to which the tRNAs corresponding amino acid is attached (by aminoacyl-tRNA synthetases). tRNAs cope with the degeneracy of the genetic code in two manners: having more than one tRNA (with a specific anti-codon) for a particular amino acid; and 'wobble' base-pairing, i.e. permitting non-standard base-pairing at the 3rd anti-codon position. Lineage: Eukaryota; Metazoa; Arthropoda; Insecta; Diptera; Chironomidae. RNAcentral also lists the same sequence under 2 other names. The record is from RNAcentral.
GUUUUAAUAGUUUAACAAAAACAUCGGUCUUGUAAAUCGAAAAUAAGAAAUUUUCUUUUAAAACU